Molecule: ribosomal RNA, 553 nt
Filed under: uncultured bacterium
Lineage: Bacteria
Description: partial 16S ribosomal RNA
Rfam family: Bacterial small subunit ribosomal RNA
Source: RNAcentral
UAGGGAAUCUUCCACAAUGGACGCAAGUCUGAUGGAGCAACGCCGCGUGAGUGAAGAAGGUUUUCGGACCGUAAAGCUCUGUUGUUGGUGAAGAAGGAUAGAGGUAGUAACUGGCCUUUAUUUGACGGUAAUCAACCAGAAAGUCACGGCUAACUACGUGCCAGCAGCCGCGGUAAUACGUAGGUGGCAAGCGUUGUCCGGAUUUAUUGGGCGUAAAGCGAGCGCAGGCGGAAGAAUAAGUCUGAUGUGAAAGCCCUCGGCUUAACCGAGGAAUUGCACCGGAAACUGUUUUCUUGAGUGCAGAAGAGGAGAGUAAAACUCCAUGUGUAGCGGUGGAAUGCGUAGAUAUAUGGAAGAACACCAGUGGCGAAGGCGGCUGUCUGGUCUGCAACUGACGCUGAGGCUCGAAAGCAUGGGUAGCGAACAGGAUUAGAUACCCUGGUAGUCCAUGCCGUAAACGAUGAGUGCUAAGUGUUGGGAGGCUUCCGCCUCUCAGUGCUGCAGCUAACGCAUUAAGCACUCCGCCUGGGGAGUACGACCGCAAGGUUGAAAC